RNAcentral lists this ribosomal RNA (260 nucleotides) under uncultured bacterium. RNAcentral's name for it is "partial 16S ribosomal RNA". It matches the Rfam family "Bacterial small subunit ribosomal RNA", at positions 793 to 1055 of the family's 1533-position model. The record is from RNAcentral.
GUCCACGCCCUAACGAUGUCAACUGGUUGUUGGACGGCUUGCUGUUCAGUAACGAAGCUAACGCGUGAAGUUGACCGCCUGGGGAGUACGGCCGCAAGGUUGAACUCAAGGAAUUGACGGGGACCCGCACAAGCGGUGGAUGAUGUGGUUUAAUUCGAUGCAACGCGAAACCUUAACCUACCCUUGACAUGUCAAGAAUCUUGCAGAGAUGUGAGAGUGCUCGAAAGAGAACUUGAACACAGGUGCUGCAUGGCCGUCGU